This 483-nucleotide ribosomal RNA is filed under the name uncultured bacterium. Its description in RNAcentral is "bacterial SSU rRNA". It matches the Rfam family "Bacterial small subunit ribosomal RNA", at positions 15 to 507 of the family's 1533-position model. The record is from RNAcentral.
GAUCAUGGCUCAGGAUGAACGCUGGCGGCGUGCUUAACACAUGCAAGUCGAACGAAGAUGCCGGAGUGCUUGCACUUUGGCAGACUGAGUGGCGGACGGGUGAGUAACGCGUGGGUAACCUGCCUUAUACAGGGGGAUAACAGUUGGAAACGACUGCUAAUACCGCAUAAGCGCACGGUAUCGCAUGAUACAGUGUGAAAAACUCCGGUGGUAUAAGAUGGACCCGCGUCUGAUUAGCUAGUUGGUGAGGUAACGGCCCACCAAGGCGACGAUCAGUAGCCGGCCUGAGAGGGUGAACGGCCACAUUGGGACUGAGACACGGCCCAAACUCCUACGGGAGGCAGCAGUGGGGAAUAUUGCACAAUGGGCGCAAGCCUGAUGCAGCAACGCCGCGUGGAGGAAGACGGUUUUCGGAUUGUAAACUCCUGUUCUUAGUGAAGAAUAAUGACGGUAGCUAAGGAGCAAGCCACGGCUAACUACGUG